RNAcentral lists this small nucleolar RNA (85 nucleotides) under Nicotiana sylvestris (wood tobacco). Its description in RNAcentral is "Small nucleolar RNA Z159/U59". It matches the Rfam family "Small nucleolar RNA Z159/U59". From Rfam's summary of the family: This family consists of several snoRNA Z159 or U59 sequences which are members of the C/D class of snoRNA which contain the C (UGAUGA) and D (CUGA) box motifs. This family seems to be found exclusively in rice. C/D box small nucleolar RNAs are known to act as a methylation guides for 18S ribosomal RNA in plants. The record is from Rfam by way of RNAcentral. Lineage: Eukaryota; Viridiplantae; Streptophyta; Magnoliopsida; Solanales; Solanaceae.
GUCUCUGAUGAUGAUAAAAAAAUAUAACUUUCGUUCUUCUGAGAUUAAUCAUGCGGAAAGUUAUGGAGACCUGAACUGAAGAGAC